AGGACGAACGCUGGCGGCGUGCUUAACACAUGCAAGUCGAGCGGAAAGGCCCUUUCGGGGGUACUCGAGCGGCGAACGGGUGAGUAACACGUGAGCAACCUGCCCUGGACUUUGGGAUAACCCUCGGAAACGGGGGCUAAUACCGAAUAUUACUUCUGCCCGCAUGGGUGGUGGUGGAAAGAUUUUUUGGUCUGGGAUGGGCUCGCGGACUAUCAGCUUGUUGGUGGGGUGAUGGCCUACCAAGGCGACGACGGUUA
This 257-nucleotide ribosomal RNA is filed under the name uncultured bacterium. RNAcentral's name for it is "partial small subunit ribosomal RNA". It matches the Rfam family "Bacterial small subunit ribosomal RNA", at positions 26 to 285 of the family's 1533-position model. The record is from RNAcentral.